Molecule: ribosomal RNA, 460 nt
Filed under: uncultured bacterium
Lineage: Bacteria
Description: partial 16S ribosomal RNA
Rfam family: Bacterial small subunit ribosomal RNA
Source: RNAcentral
CCUACGGGAGACAGCAGUGAGGAAUAUUGGUCAAUGGACGAGAGUCUGAACCAGCCAAGUAGCGUGAAGGAUGACUGCCCUAUGGGUUGUAAACUUCUUUUAUAAAGGAAUAAAACGUGGCACGUGUGCCUUUUUGCAUGUACUUUAUGAAUAAGGAUCGGCUAACUCCGUGCCAGCAGCCGCGGUAAUACGGAGGAUCCGAGCGUUAUCCGGAUUUAUUGGGUUUAAAGGGAGCGUAGAUGGGUUGUUAAGUCAGUUGUGAAAGUUUGCGGCUCAACCGUAAAAUUGCAAUUGAUACUGGCAGGCUGGAGUACAGUUGAGGUAGGCGGAAUUCGUGGUGUAGCGGUGAAAUGCGUAGAUAUCACGAAGAACCCCGAUUGCGAAGGCAGCUUACUAAACUGUGACUGACAUUGAUGCUCGAAAGUGUGGGUAUCAAACAGGAUUAGAUACCCGUGUAGUC